UAGCAUAUCAAUAAGCGGAGGAAAAGAAACUAACAAGGAUUCCCCUAGUAACUGCGAGUGAAGCGGGAAAAGCUCAAAUUUAAAAUCUGGUGGCCUUUGACCAUCCGAGUUGUAAUUUAGAGAAGUGUCUUCCGCGCUGGACCGUGCACAAGUCUCCUGGAAUGGAGCGUCAUAGAGGGUGAGAAUCCCGUCUUUGGCACGGAUGCCCGGUGCUUCUGUGAUGCGCUCUCGACGAGUCGAGUUGUUUGGGAAUGCAGCUCAAAAUGGGUGGUGAACUCCAUCUAAAGCUAAAUAUUGGCGAGAGACCGAUAGCGAACAAGUACCGUGAGGGAAAGAUGAAAAGCACUUUGGAAAGAGAGUGAAACAGUACGUGAAAUUGUUGAAAGGGAAACGCUUGAAGUCAGUCGCGUCGACAGAGACUCAGCCUUGCCUCGGCUUGGUGUACUUCUCGGCUUGACGGGUCAGCAUCAAUUUUGAUCCUUGGAUAAUGGCAAGGGAAAGGUGGCACCUUUUUAGGUGUGUUAUAGUCCUCUGUCGCAUGCGAGGGUCGGGAUUGAGGAACUCAGCACGCGCCUCCGGGUGUCGGGGCCUCGGCCCACGUUACGUGCUUAGGAUGCUGGCGUAAUGGCUUUAAACGACCCGUCUUGAAACACGGACCAAGGAGUCUAACAUACCCGCGAGUGUUCGGGUGGAAAACCCGUGCGCGCAAUGAAAGUAAAAGUUGGGACCUCUGUCGUGGAGGGCACCGACGCCCGGACCAGACCUUCUGUGACGGCUCUGCGGUAGAGCGUGUAUGUUGGGACCCGAAAGAUGGUGAACUAUGCCUGAAUAGGGUGAAGCCAGAGGAAACUCUGGUGGAGGCUCGUAGCGAUUCUGACGUGCAAAUCGAUCGUCAAAUUUGGGUAUAGGGGCGAAAGACUAAUCGAACC
This 929-nucleotide ribosomal RNA is filed under the name Russula sp. 'cadaveriolens'. Its description in RNAcentral is "partial large subunit ribosomal RNA". It matches the Rfam family "Eukaryotic large subunit ribosomal RNA", at positions 36 to 941 of the family's 3401-position model. Lineage: Eukaryota; Fungi; Basidiomycota; Agaricomycetes; Russulales; Russulaceae. The record is from RNAcentral.